GAUGAACGCUGGCGGCGUGCCUAAUACAUGCAAGUCGAGCAAACAGAUAAGGAGCUUGCUCCUUUGACGUUAGCGGCGGACGGGUGAGUAACACGUGGAUAACCUACCUAUAAGACUGGGAUAACUUCGGGAAACCGGAGCUAAUACCGGAUAACAUAUUGAACCGCAUGGUUCAAUAGUGAAAGGCGGCUUUGCUGUCACUUAUAGAUGGAUCCGCGCCGUAUUAGCUAGUUGGUAAGGUAACGGCUUACCAAGGCAACGAUACGUAGCCGACCUGAGAGGGUGAUCGGCCACACUGGAACUGAGACACGGUCCAGACUCCUACGGGAGGCAGCAGUAGGGAAUCUUCCGCAAUGGGCGAAAGCCUGACGGAGCAACGCCGCGUGAGUGAUGAAGGUCUUCGGAUCGUAAAACUCUGUUAUCAGGGAAGAACAAAUGUGUAAGUAACUGUGCACAUCUUGACGGUACCUGAUCAGAAAGCCACGGCUAACUACGU
Molecule: ribosomal RNA, 496 nt
Filed under: uncultured bacterium
Lineage: Bacteria
Description: partial 16S ribosomal RNA
Rfam family: Bacterial small subunit ribosomal RNA
Source: RNAcentral